This 472-nucleotide ribosomal RNA is filed under the name Leptocybe invasa. RNAcentral's name for it is "eukaryotic LSU rRNA". The record is from RNAcentral. Lineage: Eukaryota; Metazoa; Arthropoda; Insecta; Hymenoptera; Eulophidae.
UCAAGAGUACGUGAAACCGUUCAGGGGUAAACCUGAGAAACCCAAAAGAUCGAAUGGGGAGAUUCAUCGUCAGCGGCGUUGGCUUCCGUGCGGCUCGCGAUGGCCGGGAUCUCGGUCUCGCGUCACGCGGUCGCCGCGGCAUGUCCGACGUCGUCGGUGUGCACUUCUCCCCUAGUAGGACGUCGCGACCCGUUGGGUGUCGGAUCAAUGGCCGAUCGGUCGUCUGUUGCGCCUCGGUGCGACAGACCGAUUAGUUUAACGUCCGGCUGCCCGGCGGUAUAGAACGCUUAAUCACGGUAAUGGGCCGCAAUUUGAAUGCGUCCAGGCCCGUCGGCAGGCUCGUCUCGCUCGGAAUUACGGACCUAGCACCGUUACCGGGCGCUUGGCGUGGCUGUUAGUCAACGGUGUCCUCGGACUGGCUCUUACCGGUCUGCGACGCUACUGCUUUGGGUACUUUCAGGACCCGUCUUGA